RNAcentral lists this unclassified non-coding RNA (331 nucleotides) under uncultured fungus. RNAcentral's name for it is "sequence contains ITS2". The stretch from base 1 to 52 matches the Rfam family "5.8S ribosomal RNA", at positions 103 to 154 of the family's 154-position model. The record is from RNAcentral. Lineage: Eukaryota; Fungi.
AACGCACCUUGCGCUCCUUGGUAUUCCGAGGAGCAUGCCUGUUUGAGUGUCUUGAAGUCAUCAACUCCCCACGUCUUCUUGGACGUGGUGCGCGUUGGACGUUGGGGGCCUGCGGCCGUGAGGCUGCUCCCCUCAAAUUUGUUGGUUGGGCCUGUGGGUCGAACUCGGCUGGGCGUUGUACUAUCCUCGCUCUUGAUGAGAUGUUCCCUCCUUUGUGUGCGCAACCCUGGACCUGCCUCUUCCGAGUGGGAGGGGGGGCGGUCAAGGAGCAAAAUGGCUCCUUUCUUGAAACUCUGACCUCAAAUCAGGUAGGACUACCCGCUGAACUUAA